AAAGAUGCAUGACGCAAUUUCAAAGAAGAAAUCGGAAUACAAACUCGUGGAACUCAGAACAAUGUUUGCAUGCAAGGCCUCACAAGAGGUUUCCGCAAUCUCACAAGACACUGGGUUUAGUCUAGACGAUCUUCUUCAUACUGUGUUUCGAUGACAUAAGCAAAUGGUGAUCAUGCUUCGAUCAGAUAGUGUUGCAUCACAAGCAUAAUUUGUAAGCAAAUACUACCUUUGUUCCUCAUAAUGCAAUGAUUCCACACCAGGUUUGUAGCUCUGUUGGAAUGUGUUGGUCUCAUCUGUACCUUUUCAUAAUUGUGACUUCGGUUUACUUCUGCAUGUAUUCAGUGAUAUCCUACAUGUAAAUAAGGCUAUCUAGCACCAGUCUACUAAUGCCAUUGCCGGAUUAACAUUGUGAAAAAUUUACAAAAAAACUGGCAUUAAAAUUUCUAAAAGUGGACAACUAAAGGUAAAGUACAAACAAAAUUUAAUUUAUGUCAAGUAGGUCGUAUCAGAACUAUAAAAUGUCAUUUCUGAAAUGGCUGCCAAGUAUAUUAUCAAUAUCUAAGAAAGAAGAAGGAGCCUUGUACUGUGAUUCGACUGAAAGACACACAUUGGUGACCUUAAUGUAAACAACAUGUCUUGAAAUAGUUCAUCCAAAGGCUGCAAAAACAUAUGAAGAACAUAUCCCUCCAAAGUCAAAUGGUAUUUUGUACCAUUAUAUCAUAGCCAUGAAGAUUUGAAUCCCCGAAAACAGGGCAGUAUUAAGACGUAGAUUUCUAGAGUCGUUACACUGUUGUUUGUAUCCCUGUGCAAAACAAAAUUAAGUACAAUUAAAUCAUGUUAACCUGAUGCAAUAAUUCAAUGUAAUCAACCGAAUUGCAUUUACUGAGCAUGAGAACAUAUUCUUGGAAUAUGUCAGAAAGGAGAUUAGACACCAU
This 935-nucleotide long non-coding RNA is filed under the name Hordeum vulgare. RNAcentral describes it as "long non-coding RNA (HVUL_LNC004892)". Lineage: Eukaryota; Viridiplantae; Streptophyta; Magnoliopsida; Poales; Poaceae. The record is from RNAcentral.